GAUGAAGAACGUAGCGAAAUGCGAUAAGUAGUGUGAAUUGCAGACUUUAGUGAAUCAUCGAAUCUUUGAACGCACAUUGCGCCCCUUGGUAUUCCGAGGGGCAUGCCUGUUCGAGCGUCAUUAUAACCCUCAAGCUCAGCUUGGUGUUGGGGCCUGCUGCACUGGCAGCCCUUAAAAUCAGUGGCGGCGCCAUCUGGCUCUAAGCGUAGUAAUUCUUCUCGCUAUGGAGUCCUGGUGGACGCUUGCCAUCAACCCCCAAUUUUUCUAUGGUUGACCUCGGAUCAGGUAGGGAUACCCGCUGAACUUAAGCAUAUCAAUAAGCGGAGGA
Molecule: unclassified non-coding RNA, 328 nt
Filed under: soil metagenome
Description: partial contains 5.8S ribosomal RNA, internal transcribed spacer 2, and large subunit ribosomal RNA
Rfam family: 5.8S ribosomal RNA (bases 1-120)
Source: RNAcentral